RNAcentral lists this ribosomal RNA (402 nucleotides) under Pseudomonas sp. Its description in RNAcentral is "partial 16S ribosomal RNA". It matches the Rfam family "Bacterial small subunit ribosomal RNA", at positions 355 to 774 of the family's 1533-position model. Lineage: Bacteria; Pseudomonadati; Pseudomonadota; Gammaproteobacteria; Pseudomonadales; Pseudomonadaceae. RNAcentral also lists the same sequence under 6 other names. The record is from RNAcentral.
UGGGGAAUAUUGGACAAUGGGCGCAAGCCUGAUCCAGCCAUGCCGCGUGAGUGAUGAAGGCCCUAGGGUUGUAAAGCUCUUUCACCGGAGAAGAUAAUGACGGUAUCCGGAGAAGAAGCCCCGGCUAACUUCGUGCCAGCAGCCGCGGUAAUACGAAGGGGGCUAGCGUUGUUCGGAAUUACUGGGCGUAAAGCGCACGUAGGCGGAUCGAUCAGUCAGGGGUGAAAUCCCAGGGCUCAACCCUGGAACUGCCUUUGAUACUGUCGAUCUGGAGUAUGGAAGAGGUGAGUGGAAUUCCGAGUGUAGAGGUGAAAUUCGUAGAUAUUCGGAGGAACACCAGUGGCGAAGGCGGCUCACUGGUCCAUUACUGACGCUGAGGUGCGAAAGCGUGGGGAGCAAACA